This 116-nucleotide non-coding RNA is filed under the name Deinococcus radiodurans. RNAcentral's name for it is "TPP sequence". It matches the Rfam family "TPP riboswitch aptamer (THI element)". Rfam says of the family: Vitamin B(1) in its active form thiamin pyrophosphate (TPP) is an essential coenzyme that is synthesised by coupling of pyrimidine and thiazole moieties in bacteria. The previously detected thiamin-regulatory element, thi box was extended, resulting in a new, highly conserved RNA secondary structure, the THI element, which is widely distributed in eubacteria and also occurs in some archaea. Lineage: Bacteria; Thermotogati; Deinococcota; Deinococci; Deinococcales; Deinococcaceae. RNAcentral also lists the same sequence under 1 other name. The record is from RNAcentral.
CAUCGUCAACAGGGGUGCCUCCGCAUAUGGGCCGGAGGCUGAGAGGGCAACUCGGGCCUAACCCUAUGAACCUGAACUGGUUAGCACCAGCGGAGGGAGUGUGACGGGCGCAGAGA